RNAcentral lists this ribosomal RNA (253 nucleotides) under uncultured bacterium. RNAcentral's name for it is "partial 16S ribosomal RNA". It matches the Rfam family "Bacterial small subunit ribosomal RNA", at positions 524 to 776 of the family's 1533-position model. The record is from RNAcentral.
UACGAAGGGGGCUAGCGUUGCUCGGAAUUACUGGGCGUAAAGCGUGCGCAGGCGGCUUUGCAAGACAGAUGUGAAAUCCCCGGGCUUAACCUGGGAACUGCAUUUGUGACUGCAUGGCUGGAGUGCUGGAGAGGGGGAUGGAAUUCCGCGUGUAGCAGUGAAAUGCGUAGAUAUGCGGAGGAACACCGAUGGCGAAGGCAAUCCCCUGGGCCUGCACUGACGCUCAUGCACGAAAGCGUGGGGAGCAAACAGG